AGACCCGAAACCCGGUGAUCUAGCCAUGGGCAGGUUGAAGGUUGGGUAACACUAACUGGAGGACCGAACCGACUAAUGUUGAAAAAUUAGCGGAUGACCUGUGGCUGGGGGUGAAAGGCCAAUCAAACCGGGAGAUAGCUGGUUCUCCCCGAAAGCUAUUUAGGUAGCGCCUCGUGAAUUCAUCUCCGGGGGUAGAGCACUGUUUCGGCUAGGGGGCCAUCCCGGCUUACCAACCCGAUGCAAACUGCGAAUACCGGAGAAUGUUAUCACGGGAGACACACGGCGGGUGCUAACGUCCGUCGUGAAGAGGGAAACAACCCAGACCGCCAGCUAAGGUCCCAAAGUCAUGGUUAAGUGGGAAACGAUGUGGGAAGGCCCAGACAGCCAGGAUGUUGGCUUAGAAGCAGCCAUCAUUUAAAGAAAGCGUAAUAGCUCACUGGUCGAGUCGGCCUGCGCGGAAGAUGUAACGGGGCUAAACCAUGCACCGAAGCUGCGGCAGCGAACGUAUCACUUAAAGCGAUUCAGCGGAUGACGAUUGACGGAGCGAAGCGACGUCAAAGCGUAUACAAAGUCGAGUCGGUUUAAGGAUACGUUCGUUGGGUAGGGGAGCGUUCUGUAAGCCUGCGAAGGUGGCCUGUGAGGGUUGCUGGAGGUAUCAGAAGUGCGAAUGCUGACAUAAGUAACGAUAAAGCGGGUGAAAAGCCCGCUCGCCGGAAGACCAAGGGUUCCUGUCCAACGUUAAUCGGGGCAGGGUGAGUCGACCCCUAAGGCGAGGCCGAAAGGCGUAGUCGAUGGGAAACGGGUUAAUAUUCCCGUACUUGGUGUUACUGCGAAGGGGGGACGGAGAAGGCUAUGUUGGCCGGGCGACGGUUGUCCCGGUUUAAGCGUAUAGGUGUGUGUUCCAGGUAAAUCCGGUUCACUUUAACACUGAGGCGUGAUGACGAGGCGCUACGGUGCUGAAGCAACAAAUGCCCUGCUUCCAGGAAAAGCCUCUAAGCAUCAGGUAACAUCAAAUCGUACCCCAAACCGACACAGGUGGUCAGGUAGAGAAUACCAAGGCGCUUGAGAGAACUCGGGUGAAGGAACUAGGCAAAAUGGUGCCGUAACUUCGGGAGAAGGCACGCUGACAUGUAGGUGAAGUGAUUUACUCACGGAGCUGAAGUCAGUCGAAGAUACCAGCUGGCUGCAACUGUUUAUUAAAAACACAGCACUGUGCAAACACGAAAGUGGACGUAUACGGUGUGACGCCUGCCCGGUGCCGGAAGGUUAAUUGAUGGGGUCAGCGCAAGCGAAGCUCCUGAUCGAAGCCCCGGUAAACGGCGGCCGUAACUAUAACGGUCCUAAGGUAGCGAAAUUCCUUGUCGGGUAAGUUCCGACCUGCACGAAUGGCGUAAUGAUGGCCAGGCUGUCUCCACCCGAGACUCAGUGAAAUUGAACUCGCUGUGAAGAUGCAGUGUACCCGCGGCAAGACGGAAAGACCCCGUGAACCUUUACUAUAGCUUGACACUGAACAUUGAGCCUUGAUGUGUAGGAUAGGUGGGAGGCUUUGAAGUGUGGACGCCAGUCUGCAUGGAGCCGACCUUGAAAUACCACCCUUUAAUGUUUGAUGUUCUAACGUGGACCCGUAAUCCGGGUUGCGGACAGUGUCUGGUGGGUAGUUUGACUGGGGCGGUCUCCUCCUAAAGAGUAACGGAGGAGCACGAAGGUUGGCUAAUCCUGGUCGGACAUCAGGAGGUUAGUGCAAUGGCAUAAGCCAGCUUGACUGCGAGCGUGACGGCGCGAGCAGGUGCGAAAGCAGGUCAUAGUGAUCCGGUGGUUCUGAAUGGAAGGGCCAUCGCUCAACGGAUAAAAGGUACUCCGGGGAUAACAGGCUGAUACCGCCCAAGAGUUCAUAUCGACGGCGGUGUUUGGCACCUCGAUGUCGGCUCAUCACAUCCUGGGGCUGAAGUAGGUCCCAAGGGUAUGGCUGUUCGCCAUUUAAAGUGGUACGCGAGCUGGGUUUAGAACGUCGUGAGACAGUUCGGUCCCUAUCUGCCGUGGGCGCUGGAGAACUGAGGGGGGCUGCUCCUAGUACGAGAGGACCGGAGUGGACGCAUCACUGGUGUUCGGGUUGUCAUGCCAAUGGCACUGCCCGGUAGCUAAAUGCGGAAGAGAUAAGUGCUGAAAGCAUCUAAGCACGAAACUUGCCCCGAGA
Molecule: ribosomal RNA, 2194 nt
Filed under: Salmonella enterica subsp. enterica serovar Oranienburg
Lineage: Bacteria; Pseudomonadati; Pseudomonadota; Gammaproteobacteria; Enterobacterales; Enterobacteriaceae
Description: partial 23S ribosomal RNA
Rfam family: Bacterial large subunit ribosomal RNA
Source: RNAcentral